AUGUCUCGCAAAACUCCAGAUCCUCUCUCUCUCUCUCUCUCGCUCUACGACUCAAGAACAUCAUGCCAGAUCUCUCAUCAGAUGCCGUUUCAUGACAAGAUCGUUGAAGUGGUUCGACACCUGAGCUCUGGUGGAGGAGACUAGGGUUUCGGCGAAGAUAAAGCCAUCGGAGGCUGAACCACCGGUGCAGGUAUCAUCUUCAUCAUCUAAACUAUCAUUGUUGGGAACAUGGAUGCCGUUUAUUGUUUACAAUUAGAUCCAUUGGCAGCUAUUGAACCAUCUUUCUUCAAGAUUACGGGUCGGAGCGGUUGCAGGCGGAACAUAUCCAGCAAUUGGAGUGGAUACAACCUGGUUAAGAAACAGGGCUCGAAGGCGGUAUACCUUCCAUAAAAUGGUCUGGUGUAGAUGGAGAGGAUAAUGUUUUAAUUAUUGAUUUGCUAGGACCGAGUCUUGAGGACCUGUUUGUG
RNAcentral lists this long non-coding RNA (467 nucleotides) under Helianthus annuus (common sunflower). Lineage: Eukaryota; Viridiplantae; Streptophyta; Magnoliopsida; Asterales; Asteraceae. The record is from RNAcentral.